This 356-nucleotide ribosomal RNA is filed under the name uncultured bacterium. RNAcentral describes it as "bacterial SSU rRNA". It matches the Rfam family "Bacterial small subunit ribosomal RNA", at positions 527 to 881 of the family's 1533-position model. The record is from RNAcentral.
AGAGGGUGCGAGCGUUAAUCGGAUUUACUGGGCGUAAAGCGUGCGUAGGCGGCUUCUUAAGUCGGAUGUGAAAUCCCUGAGCCUAACUUAGGAAUUGCAUUCGAUACUGGGAAGCUAGAGUAUGGGAGAGGAUGGUAGAAUUCCAGGUGUAGCGGUGAAAUGCGUAGAGAUCUGGAGGAAUACCGAUGGCGAAGGCAGCCAUCUGGCCUAAUACUGACGCUGAGGUACGAAAGCAUGGGGAGCGAACAGGAUUAGAUACCUUGGUAGUCCACGCCGUAAACGUUGGGAACUAGGUGUGGGCGACAUCCACGUUGUCCGUGCCGCAGCUAACGCAUUAAGUUCCCCGCCUGGGGAGU